GCUGGGUGCAGUGGCCACACCUGUAAUCCCAGCAGCUCAGGAGGCUGAGACAGGAGGAUCACGAGUUCAAAGCCAGCCUCAGCAAAAGUGAGGCACUAAGCAAUUGGGAGACUCUGUCUCUA
RNAcentral lists this small RNA (122 nucleotides) under Marmota monax (woodchuck). Lineage: Eukaryota; Metazoa; Chordata; Mammalia; Rodentia; Sciuridae. The record is from RNAcentral.